GUGCGAUAAAUAAAACAUUGAUAACUUUGUUAUUUGUGGUAACCCUCAAUACUGAACUGAAACACAUGCCGCCAUUUCUGUCCACGUAACUUAAAGGAAUUUGGUAGGUGUCAGAGCUUUGAUGGCGGGAGGGAUAAAUUGUAAAUGAUGCUAAAAAGGCAGUUGUAGACAUAAUAGCAUGAUGGCCAAGUAGUACUCAUAAUGCUUUUCAUGUAGAAAUGGAGUAUUUUCAGAGACGUCUUUGUAUCUCACCACAUAUGGAGAUGAAAUUUCCUUCUUGAGCAUAAUAGAUUUACUACUGUGUUUAGAAGCAGUUGAACUUUAAGCACAUAAGGCUUGUGUCUGUCAUGGGAGACAUUUUGGUCCUAACAUAAGGCUGGUACUGAUACGAAGUAUGACUGCACGUGGCAUAAAGAAUACAUAUUCAUUUGUUUUGGGUAGCAAUAUGUCUGGCAGUAUGGCCGUUGGCAACUUUCGCUUAAAUGUAAGAGAGAAUGUUUGACUCCACAUUGGCAUCUAGUUGUAUUAAUACUAUCUUCAUCUCUAAACUGGAAACAUGUAUUUGCACAAUAAAUUCCAUUUCAAAAUCAGG
RNAcentral lists this long non-coding RNA (592 nucleotides) under Stegodyphus dumicola. RNAcentral's name for it is "uncharacterized LOC118187465, transcript variant X2". The record is from RNAcentral. Lineage: Eukaryota; Metazoa; Arthropoda; Arachnida; Araneae; Eresidae.